This 534-nucleotide ribosomal RNA is filed under the name Clostridioides difficile. RNAcentral's name for it is "partial 23S ribosomal RNA". It matches the Rfam family "Bacterial large subunit ribosomal RNA", at positions 2299 to 2835 of the family's 2925-position model. The record is from RNAcentral. Lineage: Bacteria; Bacillati; Bacillota; Clostridia; Peptostreptococcales; Peptostreptococcaceae.
AACGGAGGCGCUCAAAGGUUCUCUCAGUACGGUCGGAAAUCGUACGUAGAGUGUAAAGGCAAAAGAGAGCUUGAUUGCAAGACAUACAGGUCGAGCAAGGAUGAAAAUCGGACUUAGUGAUCCGGUGGUUCUGCGUGGAAGGGCCAUCGCUCAACGGAUAAAAGCUACCCUGGGGAUAACAGGCUUAUCUCCCCCAAGAGUCCACAUCGACGGGGAGGUUUGGCACCUCGAUGUCGGCUCAUCACAUCCUGGGGCUGUAGUAGGUCCCAAGGGUUGGGCUGUUCGCCCAUUAAAGUGGUACGCGAGCUGGGUUCAGAACGUCGUGAGACAGUUCGGUCCCUAUCCGUCGCAGGCGUAGGAAAUUUGAGAAGACCUGUCCUUAGUACGAGAGGACCGGGAUGGACGUACCUCUGGUGUACCAGUUGUCCUGCCAAGGGCAUGGCUGGGUAGCUAUGUACGGAAUGGAUAAGCGCUGAAAGCAUCUAAGCGCGAAGCCAACUUCAAGAUAAGAUUUCCCACCGCAAGGGUAAGACC